Non-coding RNA from Taeniopygia guttata (zebra finch), 1029 nucleotides. The record is from RefSeq and is a predicted model, not a curated record. NCBI's taxonomy places the organism in Eukaryota, Metazoa, Chordata, Aves, Passeriformes, Estrildidae.
CAGCAAACCUGGGAGGGUUAUUGAGAGUAGAUACAAAAUGGUGAAAAUAAAUCACACCACACAAUAAAUUCCCAUGAGGUGUAUAGUAAGGGCAAACAGAUUCUGCAUCUGCAUCUGAACAACACAUCUGAAAGAGAUGCACAGGAUGAAAAAAACCCCUGCAUUAGAAAACUCACUGCCAGUGCUUCCUUCUUUUCUUGAGCAGAGAGAAGUAGCAAUCAUGCUGCAAGCUUUGAGCGUCACAGCUUAGUCUUUGCUCUCUCUUUAAUUUUGGAUGCUUUCAUUUUCACAUGUACAAAUAAAAGGACCUUGAGGUGAUCUAAGAGGCAUAUUAAGGGCUCUUUAUGAGAUUAAAUGUUCAAGAUUCUGAAAACAUGGUCUUCUGAGGACUAUUAAAUUGGAUCUCAAGAACAGAGAUGUAUGAAAUCAGAAGAUAUUUUCAAAAACUUUUGUCAGUAAUUUUGUCUGGUUGCCAGUUAAUCAGACUAGAAGAAUGUCUCAUUUUUGCUUUCCAGGUGCUCUCUAGACAGACAAAGAAAAAAAUUAAAAAGAAGAGCAGUAUAUUUUGUGAAGAGGAAAAUGAGAGAAUUAAAUCACAGUGAGUCAUUGACAGGAUUUUUCCAGUGCAGUCUAUGGGUCACUUGUAAGAAGUAUGAAGAAUGGCACUCAGAGCAGAGAAUCACCAGGACAGAAGAAGGUCUCUGCUACUUCACCUGAGGAAAGAUGAGCUGUAACUGCCUUUCCACACCCACUUCAGACUCUUCCUUAUGCUCUGUGGGUGAAUGUGUGUGAGAAUGCCUGGAAGCUUCCCUCAUUGUCUUUGAGGAGGCGAUGUUGCAGCGCAAUGACACCAGGACAGCUAUGGGAGCUCCGACAUUGAAGAUGACUUAGUAUAUUUUUAAUGGGAUUUUCACAGAAAUAUUUCAAUUUGCAGUACAACCCAAGCUUUCUAAUAACAAGAAUAUCGGAAGUCUUUACACACACUAAAAAAUAAUUAAAAGCAGCUAACAUCAUGAUGCAAUUCAUAAA